CCACUUAGUUCUCAUAGGCAAAAAUGCAAACAGGUUAGCCUUGUCAAAUCCAUUCAUCAAAGCUUCGGCUUUAACGAUUUGAGUGACCAUUCUGGUUUCUGCUAGUGUGUGAGCUUCACUUAUUUCCAACAAUAGACUAUCUACUGAUGGUGAUGAAAAUAAGAGGCUCAAAAGACCUUAAUGGUAGCCUCCACAUGUUGAAUUUCAUUGAAGCUUUAUGAAUUUGGAACCUUCAAGUUCUGUUCCCAAAUCUUUGAUUCUCCUUCUCCUCUAAUUCACAGCUGCAUUGCUUUGAUCUCUACUGGGUUGGAGGUCAAUUGGAUCACUUCUUUCCCUAUUAAAGAUCCUUGAUUCCACCUCUCUCUCUCUCGUGUUAAGUCAGUCGAGUCACAACCCAAUUCCUUCAGGCGAUGGUGAUGCCACGACGAUUACCUGAGGUGGAGCAACAGCUGAUAAGAUACAAUGAGGCGACGCCAAGGAGAAAGGAACUGAGGGGUGAGCGCGGCGACGCCAAGGAGGAAGGAACUGAGGGGUGAGCGCUGCCGCUGCUGGGCUGGAGUUUGGAGUGAGGGCUAAGAAGAUGGCAGAUGAGAAAAUUAAGAAUCGACAAUGAAUUGU
Molecule: unclassified non-coding RNA, 618 nt
Filed under: Hevea brasiliensis (rubber tree)
Lineage: Eukaryota; Viridiplantae; Streptophyta; Magnoliopsida; Malpighiales; Euphorbiaceae
Source: RNAcentral